This 402-nucleotide ribosomal RNA is filed under the name uncultured Arcobacter sp. RNAcentral's name for it is "bacterial SSU rRNA". It matches the Rfam family "Bacterial small subunit ribosomal RNA", at positions 353 to 772 of the family's 1533-position model. The record is from RNAcentral. Lineage: Bacteria; Pseudomonadati; Campylobacterota; Epsilonproteobacteria; Campylobacterales; Arcobacteraceae.
AGUGGGGAAUAUUGCACAAUGGGGGAAACCCUGAUGCAGCAACGCCGCGUGGAGGAUGACACAUUUCGGUGCGUAAACUCCUUUUAUAUAGGAAGAUAAUGACGGUACUAUAUGAAUAAGCGCCGGCUAACUCCGUGCCAGCAGCCGCGGUAAUACGGAGGGCGCAAGCGUUACUCGGAAUCACUGGGCGUAAAGAGCGUGUAGGCGGGUUAAUAAGUCAGAUGUGAAAGCCUAUGGCUCAACCAUAGAACUGCAUUUGAAACUGUUAACCUAGAAUAUGGGAGAGGUAGAUGGAAUUUCUGGUGUAGGGGUAAAAUCCGUAGAGAUCAGAAGGAAUACCGAUUGCGAAGGCGAUCUACUGGAACAUUAUUGACGCUGAGACGCGAAAGCGUGGGGAGCAAA